ACACUACACAAAAAAAAAAGAAGACAGAGAGUGAGAGAACCGAGAGAGAGCCAAUAGAAAGCAAGAGGAGGAGUUCAUUUUUACCAUUCUUGUCCAUCCACCACCAAAUCCAACCAUUCUUGAGCCCGAAAGAACUUAACUUUGUAUUGAAAACGUAUCUUUCGGGGUGGUUCGGAGUGUUUCCGGGGAAGAGGAAGCUGCCGGUGGCGGCGAGCGGCCGGUGACAGCAGCGGCUCCUCCCCGUGGCAGCAGCAACGCGGUGACAGCAGCGGCUCCUCCCCGUGGCAGCAGCAACGCGGCGGACAGCAGCGCUCCCCGGCGACUCCAGCAGCGACGCGACGACUUCCGCAGCGACCCGGCGACCCCAGCGAGCAGCACGGGACAGCAGCAGCGACAGCGGGAGUAUAAUGACACUGAGCGAUGCUCGGUGCAGCGGCUACGGCGGCUCCGACGCGAAAGGAGAGGGGAGCGGCGGAAAUUGUAAGAAGAAGAGAGAAAGAGAAGAAGAAGGAGACGUGGAGUGGGUAGAAAAAAAAUGGACUUGGGCCUCUUGUGUUUUCUUUGAUUGGGCAUUUUUAUUUUAGUGGGAGGCUAUUGUUUUAAAGUGGGGCCUUUUUAACUAUAUGGGGCUUAUAAAUUUAAUUGGAAGUAAGAGGUGAGGUAAAUAAUUAA
This is a long non-coding RNA of Salvia splendens (bonfire salvia), 672 nucleotides long. RefSeq lists it as uncharacterized. The transcript is spliced from 2 exons. The record is from RefSeq and is a predicted model, not a curated record. NCBI's taxonomy places the organism in Eukaryota, Viridiplantae, Streptophyta, Magnoliopsida, Lamiales, Lamiaceae.